RNAcentral lists this ribosomal RNA (250 nucleotides) under uncultured prokaryote. Its description in RNAcentral is "partial 16S ribosomal RNA". It matches the Rfam family "Bacterial small subunit ribosomal RNA", at positions 524 to 773 of the family's 1533-position model. The record is from RNAcentral.
UACGUAGGGCGCGAGCGUUAUCCGGAAUUAUUGGGCGUAAAGAGCUCGUAGGCGGUUUGUCACGUCUGCUGUGAAAGCCUGGGGCUCAACCCCGGGUGUGCAGUGGGUACGGGCAGACUAGAGUGCAGUAGGGGAGACUGGAAUUCCUGGUGUAGCGGUGAAAUGCGCAGAUAUCAGGAGGAACACCGAUGGCGAAGGCAGGUCUCUGGGCUGUUACUGACGCUGAGGAGCGAAAGCAUGGGGAGCGAAC